RNAcentral lists this ribosomal RNA (492 nucleotides) under uncultured bacterium. RNAcentral's name for it is "partial 16S ribosomal RNA". It matches the Rfam family "Bacterial small subunit ribosomal RNA", at positions 29 to 507 of the family's 1533-position model. The record is from RNAcentral.
AGUGAACGCUGGCGGUAGGCCUAACACAUGCAAGUCGAACGGCAGCACAGUAAGAGCUUGCUCUUACGGGUGGCGAGUGGCGGACGGGUGAGGAAUACAUCGGAAUCUACUUUUUCGUGGGGGAUAACGUAGGGAAACUUACGCUAAUACCGCAUACGACAUACGGGGGAAAGCAGGGGAUCUUCGGACCUUGCGCGAUUGAAUGAGCCGAUGUCGGAUUAGCUAGUUGGCGGGGUAAAGGCCCACCAAGGCGACGAUCCGUAGCUGGUCUGAGAGGAUGAUCAGCCACACUGGAACUGAGACACGGUCCAGACUCCUACGGGAGGCAGCAGUGGGGAAUAUUGGACAAUGGGCGCAAGCCUGAUCCAGCCAUACCGCGUGGGUGAAGAAGGCCUUCGGGUUGUAAAGCCCUUUUGUUGGGAAAGAAAAGCAGCAGGUUAAUACCCCGCUGUUCUGACGGUACCCAAAGAAUAAGCACCGGCUAACUUCGUG